This 494-nucleotide unclassified non-coding RNA is filed under the name Allium madidum. Its description in RNAcentral is "partial external transcribed spacer". Lineage: Eukaryota; Viridiplantae; Streptophyta; Magnoliopsida; Asparagales; Amaryllidaceae. The record is from RNAcentral.
ACCCAACACUGGCACUGCCGUACACUCACCAACAACUACACACACGAUACAGUCCGAGGGGCGAAACGACGCCGGUUGACUGCUCAUGGUAUUGAAAAAGAGUGGAUACGCCGCUUAAAGCGAUCCAAAGUACAACGGAAGCACCUUUUGCCUGGGCCAAACCUUAUUCUUGCAAAUUACUACAGCAAACAUGGCGGGGAGGAGAAUAGGUUCACAAACCCCCCAUGUUACAACCUUUGGAACCAUAAAACUAGCGAUGCAGCACAACGGUUAGUAAAAAUAGCAACCCACGAGGUUAUCAACGUGCCCACAACACGUACGAUUUCUGUGAACCCCUUUCGGAAGGGAAACACGAAGAUUAGGUACCGAGCCAAAACGGUCGUGGUAGAUUUUUUUCCGGACGUACUAAGCACCGCGUAGGAAUUCAGCUUACGCUUUGCGGUAACACGUCCACGGAUUCUCCUGCACGAUGGACCAACUAGGACGGUCAUCAG